RNAcentral lists this transfer RNA (90 nucleotides) under Burkholderiales bacterium. RNAcentral's name for it is "tRNA-Ser". It matches the Rfam family "tRNA". From Rfam's summary of the family: Transfer RNA (tRNA) molecules are approximately 80 nucleotides in length. Lineage: Bacteria; Pseudomonadati; Pseudomonadota; Betaproteobacteria; Burkholderiales. The record is from RNAcentral.
GGAAGGUUGGCAGAGCGGUUGAAUGCACCGGUCUUGAAAACCGGCGAUGUCGCAAGGCAUCCCAGGGUUCGAAUCCCUGACCUUCCGCCA